CAAUAGCGUAUAUUAAAGUUGUUGCAGUUAAAAAGCUCGUAGUUGAAUUUCUGUCAGGAGUGACCGGGCCUUUGGAUGAACUUCCAUUGUUUUUUGCUCUGUUCGUCAUCUCUAGACAUCCUGAAAUAUUUUUUAAAAAUAUUUCUCUUUUACUGUUAGCAAAAUAGAGUGUUCCAAGCAAAGCGUAGUUUUGAAUACAUUAGAAUGGAAUAAUAAGAUAGGACUUUGGUGCUAUUUUGUUGGUUUGCACACCAAGGUAAUGAUUAAUAGGGACAGUUGGGGGUAUUCGUAUUUAAUUGUCAGAGGUGAAAUUCUUGGAUUUAUGAAAGACGAACUACUGCGAAAGCAUUUACCAAGGAUGUUUUCAUUAA
Molecule: ribosomal RNA, 371 nt
Filed under: uncultured eukaryote
Lineage: Eukaryota
Description: partial 18S ribosomal RNA
Rfam family: Eukaryotic small subunit ribosomal RNA
Source: RNAcentral